UAAAUCCUUUCGACGAGGAUCGAUUGGAGGGCAAGUCUGGUGCCAGCAGCCGCGGUAAUUCCAGCUCCAAUAGCGUAUAUUAAAGUUGCUGCGGUUAAAAAGCUCGUAGUUUAACCUCACUUUUCGAAAGGAGGUGAACGAGCGCCGUAGUACCUAGACAAUACUUUCUCAUUCCUCUCGUUACGAUAGAAGGAGUGCUAGUACGGGGAUGUCGAAAGCUCGAACAAGGUGGUGGUGAAAAUAGACGUAUGUACGAGUUGAUUUUAUGACAUUGGUGGUGGCGGAGUCGGUCGUCGUAGCUGCUGCUGCUGCUGCGGUGGUAGUACGCUAAUGGCAAACGACCGUCGCCGCUGCCGCAUCUACUACUACUUCGUUCAUCGUCGAUUCCCUAUUCGUUGCUUGGGCUCCUCCUCCUCCUCAUCAUCCUUUCCAACGGGGACGGAAAAGAAAAAGCGAAAAAAGUGUGACGGCGUUUUAAGUCACCAGUACUUCUCGAUGAAAAACAUCAUACGGCCGCCCACCGGCGUAGUAGUAGUAGUAGUAGUAGUAGCAGCAGCCUACGUAAAUGAGUGGUAGACGAUUUUGUAUCUCUUCUACUUUCAGUGGUGGUGCUGCUGCUGCUGCUCCUGAUUGCUCUCGCGCGCUCGCGUUCGGGCGGCAACUUCACUUUGACAAAAUUAGAGUGCUCAGAGCGGGCAAGAUCUGAAGCCUGAAUGGAGGUGCAUAGAAUGAUAUAAGAUGACCUCGCGAUCUAAAC
RNAcentral lists this ribosomal RNA (757 nucleotides) under Tylos sp. clade C MM-2013. RNAcentral describes it as "partial 18S small subunit ribosomal RNA". It matches the Rfam family "Eukaryotic small subunit ribosomal RNA", at positions 526 to 842 of the family's 1831-position model. Lineage: Eukaryota; Metazoa; Arthropoda; Malacostraca; Isopoda; Tylidae. The record is from RNAcentral.